AGGAUGAACGCUGGCGGCGUGCUUAACACAUGCAAGUCGAACGAUGAAGGCUGGAGCUUGCUCUGGCUGGAUUAGUGGCGAACGGGUGAGUAACACGUGAGUAACCUGCCCCAGACUCUGGGAUAAGCGCUGGAAACGGCGUCUAAUACCGGAUACGAGCUUCCACCGCAUGGUGAGGAGCUGGAAAGAAUUUUCGGUCUGGGAUGGACUCGCGGCCUAUCAGCUUGUUGGUGAGGUAAUGGCUCACCAAGGCGACGACGGGUAGCCGGCCUGAGAGGGUGACCGGCCACGACUGGGACUGAGACACGGCCCAGACUCCUACGGGAGGCAGCAGUGGGGAAUUUUGGACAAUGGGGAAACCCUGAUCCAGCCAUCCCGCGUGUGCGAUGAAGGCCUCGGUUGUAAAGCACUUUUGGCUAGGAAGAAACGGCGUUGACUAAUAUUCAGCGUCACUGACGUACCUGCAGAAUAAGCACCGGCUAACUACGUGACC
Molecule: ribosomal RNA, 493 nt
Filed under: uncultured soil bacterium
Lineage: Bacteria
Description: bacterial SSU rRNA
Rfam family: Bacterial small subunit ribosomal RNA
Source: RNAcentral